Molecule: small nucleolar RNA, 74 nt
Filed under: Castor canadensis (American beaver)
Lineage: Eukaryota; Metazoa; Chordata; Mammalia; Rodentia; Castoridae
Description: Small nucleolar RNA Z40 (ENSCCNG00000015099.1)
Rfam family: Small nucleolar RNA Z40
About the family: Z40 is a member of the C/D class of snoRNA which contain the C (UGAUGA) and D (CUGA) box motifs. Most of the members of the box C/D family function in directing site-specific 2'-O-methylation of substrate RNAs.
Source: Rfam by way of RNAcentral
AGAUGUUAUGAUGAUAGCAAAAUGUUCAACUGCUCUGAAUUAAGCUGACUGAUAAUAGGCCUUCUGAACCAUCC